AUGGGAGUGGGAGGAGGUGUCCUAAGAAGGGAGUGCAUCUUUCACUGGGACCAUCCCGGCUGGGGGCAAAGCCAAGCAGCCAGUUUCUUCGGAUCCCAUCUCCUGGCCGGCACCGGAAAUAAUCCUUUUAUAAACUGGGUGGAGGGAAUGUUAAUACUUCUCGCCUCGGUGAGUUUGCCCUCCCAGACUUUGAAAGGAAACAGCGUGGGAUUAAAAGAAAAGGGCAGGUGUACCUGGGUGUUAUCGCUUUAGUGUAUCAUUUGGCAUUGUGCAUUUUAUUCGCCAGUGAGCCUUCUCGAGUUCUAGGGCAGACACGCUAAUGUUUGUUGCUGAGCACUGGCAUCAAAAAAGAACCCGUGUGAGGCCUUUCUGCGCUGACCAGUAUGUAUAUUUUCAUGUAUUUCUACCGGGGAGAUCAGUAGAGGCUGAAGUGUAGGGUCUUUAGUGAGUCUGUUACGAACCACAUGGUAGCUGUAGCACGCCUUUUUAUAGCUCUUAUCUGAUGAAAGGAUUACAAUGGCUCCCAUAUGGAUGUAUCAAAAUAUAUUAAUUCAUUAAAAGGUAUUAUAUUCUUGCGCUGUGCAAGCUCCCCCUCCAUCUUUCCCUAGUGGGCAAGUACUGUAUCUUAUCAAAUUUAUAUUUAUUUUACCACCUA
This 655-nucleotide long non-coding RNA is filed under the name Fukomys damarensis (Damara mole-rat). RNAcentral's name for it is "lncRNA (ENSFDAG00000033640.1)". Lineage: Eukaryota; Metazoa; Chordata; Mammalia; Rodentia; Bathyergidae. The record is from RNAcentral.